GUGUUAUGAGGCUUAACAGCUGCAUUCUGCCUCCUUCAGGACAGCAGUGCAGCUGUGUGUAAGAGCUGCUGGAAAGACAGGCAUCUGGUCCACCCCAUGUCCACCACAUCAUAGACACUCAGCCCCUUGACAGGAAUCCCACUUGACAUCUGCCACACGUGUAUCCAGAGUGGAAAUCAAGCUGUUACUCUUCAAAAUUUGUAAAAAACCUGGAAAUGUCUAUAAAAUGACAGAAGACUCAGUUAAGAAGCAAGUAUUGCCUCAUUUGGAGGACAAUAGCAUGAAUAUUAUAAACAGAAUCAGAAAACUGAGGCAUGUCUCCCAGGAAGUUAGUAGAAUGUUGCUUACUAACAAGUGUAAUGGAAGAUCCAAGUUUCUACAGUAUAAGAGAAGUACUUAGAUGUUAUGGAGGAAGGGUGAUAAUUUGCCUGAAUCUGAUACUUAGAAUGUGUGCCCAAAUAGUUAC
RNAcentral lists this long non-coding RNA (466 nucleotides) under Bos taurus (domestic cattle). RNAcentral describes it as "long non-coding RNA NONBTAT004967". The record is from RNAcentral. Lineage: Eukaryota; Metazoa; Chordata; Mammalia; Artiodactyla; Bovidae.